RNAcentral lists this transfer RNA (75 nucleotides) under Selenihalanaerobacter shriftii. Its description in RNAcentral is "tRNA_Gly_GCC". It matches the Rfam family "tRNA". Rfam says of the family: Transfer RNA (tRNA) molecules are approximately 80 nucleotides in length. Their secondary structure includes four short double-helical elements and three loops (D, anti-codon, and T loops). The record is from RNAcentral. Lineage: Bacteria; Bacillati; Bacillota; Clostridia; Halanaerobiales; Halobacteroidaceae.
GCGGAAAUAGCUCAGUGGUAGAGCGUCUCGUUGCCAACGAGAAGGUCGCGAGUUCAAAUCUCGUUUUCCGCUCCA